UACGGAGGGGACUAGCGUUGUUCGGAAUUACUGGGCGUAAAGCGCACGUAGGCGGAUUUGUUAGUCAGGGGUGAAAUCCCGGGGCUCAACCUCGGAACUGCCUUUGAUACUGCAAAUCUCGAGUCCGGAAGAGGUGAGUGGAAUUCCUAGUGUAGAGGUGAAAUUCGUAGAUAUUGGGAAGAACACCGGUGGCGAAGGCGGCUCUCUGGACCGAUACUGACGCUGAGGCGCGAAAGCGUGGGGAGCAAACAGG
Molecule: ribosomal RNA, 253 nt
Filed under: uncultured bacterium
Lineage: Bacteria
Description: partial 16S ribosomal RNA
Rfam family: Bacterial small subunit ribosomal RNA
Source: RNAcentral